RNAcentral lists this ribosomal RNA (497 nucleotides) under uncultured bacterium. Its description in RNAcentral is "partial 16S ribosomal RNA". It matches the Rfam family "Bacterial small subunit ribosomal RNA", at positions 28 to 507 of the family's 1533-position model. The record is from RNAcentral.
GAUGAACGCUGGCGGCGUGCCUAAUACAUGCAAGUCGAGCGAACAGACGAGGAGCUUGCUCCUCUGACGUUAGCGGCGGACGGGUGAGUAACACGUGGAUACCCUACCUAUAAGACUGGGAUAACUUCGGGAAACCGGAGCUAAUACCGGAUAAUAUAUUGAACCGCAUGGUUCAAUAGUGAAAGACGGUUUUGCUGUCACUUAUAGAUUGAUCCGCGCCGCAUUAGCUAGUUGGUAAGGUAACGGCUUACCAAGGCCACGAUGCGUAGCCGACCUGAGAGGGUGAUCGGCCACACUGGAACGGAGACACGGUCCAGAGUCCUACGGGAGGCAGCAGUAGGGAAUGUUCCGCAAUGGGCGAAAGCCUGACGGAGCAACGCCGCGUGAGUGAUGAAGGUCUUCGGAUCGUAAAACCCUGUUAUUAGGGAAGAACAAAUGUGUAAGUAAAUAUGCACGUCUUGACGGUACCUAAUCAGAAAGCCACGGCUAACUACGUG